This is a small nucleolar RNA of Mustela putorius furo (domestic ferret), 133 nucleotides long. The record is from Ensembl. NCBI's taxonomy places the organism in Eukaryota, Metazoa, Chordata, Mammalia, Carnivora, Mustelidae.
ACCCUCCGGCUCCCUUUCCCAUCGGAUCUGAACACUGGUCUUGGUGGUCAUAAAAGGAGGAAAAGGAGCACUGAAGCUGGCCUCAUGAUGCUUAUAGUCUGGUAUAUAGGCUGUGGGCUAGUUUCAAACAGGG